GGAGCGGUGGCUGAGAGGCUGAAAGCAACCGUUUGCUAAAUGGUCGUACUGCGUUAAACAGUACCGGGGGUUCGAAUCCCCCCCGCUCCG
RNAcentral lists this transfer RNA (90 nucleotides) under Akkermansia sp. Its description in RNAcentral is "tRNA-Ser". It matches the Rfam family "tRNA". From Rfam's summary of the family: Transfer RNA (tRNA) molecules are approximately 80 nucleotides in length. Their secondary structure includes four short double-helical elements and three loops (D, anti-codon, and T loops). The record is from RNAcentral. Lineage: Bacteria; Pseudomonadati; Verrucomicrobiota; Verrucomicrobiia; Verrucomicrobiales; Akkermansiaceae.